AUUGAACGCUGGCGGCAGGCCUAACACAUGCAAGUCGAACGGUAACAGGAAGCAGCUUGCUGCUUUGCUGACGAGUGGCGGACGGGUGAGUAAUGUCUGUGAAACUGCCUGAUGGAGGGGGAUAACUACUGGAAACGGUAGCUAAUACCGCAUAACGUCGCAAGACCAAAGAGGGGGACCUUCGGGCCUCUUGCCAUCGGGUUUGCCCAGAUGGGAUUAGCUUGUUGGUGGGGUAACGGCUCACCAAGGCGACGAUCCCUAGCUGGUCUGAGAGGAUGACCAGCAACACUGGAACUGAGACACGGUCCAGACUCCUACGGGAGGCAGCAGUGGGGAAUAUUGCACAAUGGGCGCAAGCCUGAUGCAGCCAUGCCGCGUGUAUGAAGAAGGCCUUCGGGUUGUAAAGUACUUUCAGCGGGGAGGAAGGGAGUAAAGUUAAUACCUUUACUCAUUGACGUUACCCGCAGAAGAAGCACCGGCUAACUCCGUG
This 490-nucleotide ribosomal RNA is filed under the name uncultured bacterium. RNAcentral describes it as "partial 16S ribosomal RNA". It matches the Rfam family "Bacterial small subunit ribosomal RNA", at positions 30 to 507 of the family's 1533-position model. The record is from RNAcentral.